RNAcentral lists this RNase P RNA (362 nucleotides) under Phycisphaerae bacterium. Its description in RNAcentral is "RNase P RNA component class A". It matches the Rfam family "Bacterial RNase P class A". From Rfam's summary of the family: Ribonuclease P (RNase P) is a ubiquitous endoribonuclease, found in archaea, bacteria and eukarya as well as chloroplasts and mitochondria. Its best characterised activity is the generation of mature 5'-ends of tRNAs by cleaving the 5'-leader elements of precursor-tRNAs. Cellular RNase Ps are ribonucleoproteins. The record is from RNAcentral. Lineage: Bacteria; Pseudomonadati; Planctomycetota; Phycisphaerae.
UUGGACAGGUGAUCGUCGGCGGCCGUGUGCCGCGGGAGGAAAGUCCGGACACCACAGGACACGGUGGUGGGUAACCCCCACCGGCCCACUCGUCGCGGGUCAGGGAAAGUGCCACAGAAAGCAAACCGCCUUCAGCGUGUCUGGGGGUAAGGGUGAAAGGGUGCGGUAAGAGCGCACCGCCCGCUCGGUGACGAGCGGGGCAGGGCAAACCCCACCGGGUGCAAUCGCAAGCAGGCUCCUUCGUCCCAUUGUCCGUGGGUUUGGUGCCGGGUCGCGAGCUUGAGGCCGUCAGAAAUGGCGGUCCUAGAUGAAUGAUCACCCCUCGCUGAGCGAGUUACAGAAUCCGGCUUACGUCUGAAUGC